GUACUAAUUAAUGACUGAAGAUAGCCUAAGCAGUGAGCACGUACAAAAUAAAGAGACUAAUUAAGCACAUGUUCUGCAUAUUUUUUUUCGUUAGUAUUAACUUAAUUAAUUAGUGAUGGAAACUGAACAAUUGAAGGCUAACUCUAAUUCUUCGUCUGCAAGCUCAAUUACUGGAGCAAAACAGAAAAUUUAGAGGAAACACUUUUCAACCAGUACAUGAUGUGCUACCGAAUUCGUCCCUGACGGAAAGGGAAAAUGAGCUGGCAGUGGGAUUCAAGAAGUACGAAAAGGGGAAAAAUGGGCUUCCAGUUCUACAACGGAAACAAAAAGGAAAAGAAAAUCUUAGUAAGCCUUGCAAUCAGCUUUUCUGUUGCAUGAUGAAAAAAUGGCAUAGUUAUUAUAUCUGUCCCAUCGAACAAGACUUGGAGGAAUUAUCCAGAAUGUCACUAGAUUCUUCAAAGGACGGGAUAUCUGUGGAGGCUACUGCUUGUGUGUGAAGAGUGGAAAGUUCCUGAAACAUUUUCAAAGUAGUGUUCCCGAUGGAAAAUCUAUCAAGGUAACUUAGUUGUAAUGCAAAACUUACAAAUAAACAAAAUAAAUGUCA
This 604-nucleotide unclassified non-coding RNA is filed under the name Daphnia magna. RNAcentral's name for it is "uncharacterized LOC123477503, transcript variant X4". The record is from RNAcentral. Lineage: Eukaryota; Metazoa; Arthropoda; Branchiopoda; Diplostraca; Daphniidae.